AAGCUAAUACCGGAUAAUCAUAGAAGUUGCAUAGCUUCUAUGUAAAAGUUGGGUUUACCUAACACUACAGGAUGGGCCCGCGUCGCAUUAGCUAGUUGGUAAGGKAACGGSUUACCAAGGCGACGAUGCGUAGCCGACCUGAGAGGGUGAUCGGCCACACUGGGACUGAGACACGGCCCAGACUCCUACGGGAGGCAGCAGUAGGGAAUCUUCCGCAAUGGACGAAAGUCUGACGGAGCAACGCCGCGUGAGCGAUGAAGGCCUUCGGGUCGUAAAGCUCUGUUGUUAGGGAAGAACAAGUGCCCUUCAAAUAGGGUGGCACCUUGACGGUACCUAACGAGAAAGYCACGGCUAACUACGUGCCAGCAGCCGCGGUAAUACGUAGGUGGCAAGCGUUGUCCGGAAUUAUUGGGCGUAAAGCGCGCGCAGGCGGUAUCUUAAGUCUGAUGUGAAAGCCCACGGCUCAACCGUGGAGGGUCAUUGGAAACUGGGAUACUUGAGUACAGAAGAGGAGAGUGGAAUUCCAUGUGUAGCGGUGAAAUGCGUAGAUAUAUGGAGGAACACCAGUGGCGAA
RNAcentral lists this ribosomal RNA (574 nucleotides) under uncultured Anaerobacillus sp. Its description in RNAcentral is "bacterial SSU rRNA". It matches the Rfam family "Bacterial small subunit ribosomal RNA", at positions 160 to 719 of the family's 1533-position model. The record is from RNAcentral. Lineage: Bacteria; Bacillati; Bacillota; Bacilli; Caryophanales; Bacillaceae.